Molecule: long non-coding RNA, 399 nt
Organism: Myotis davidii
Lineage: Eukaryota; Metazoa; Chordata; Mammalia; Chiroptera; Vespertilionidae
Exons: 3
Source: RefSeq, a predicted model, not a curated record
CCAGCUCGGGACGAACUGGACAGACCGUCCCUGUCCCUUCUGCGCGGGCUGCUGGGGACGCCAGGGGCAGACACAGCUGAUGGGCUCGGGAAAGCAGAUGCCGGCAUCAACGUGCGUAACCCAAGAGGAAACACGAGAAAGGCUUUCUCCGGACAAGACCCCGACAUUUUACUGAAUCGACUUCUGGCCCGAGUCAGGGAGCAGCACGAGAAGCGUGGGCACCCCUCUGAGUGCUUCUGGAAAUACUGCGUCUGAAGUGAGGACCACCUACUUGUCAACUCAAAACCAACCGUCUUAGAAAUUAACAGCAGACACGCUUCAUCUGAAAAGAGCCCAGAAGAAACGCUAGGCAAACUCUGCCCUGUUCGUUGUCAUUCGGAAAAUAAAUCCUCUAUGUUU